Molecule: ribosomal RNA, 200 nt
Filed under: uncultured bacterium
Lineage: Bacteria
Description: partial 16S ribosomal RNA
Rfam family: Bacterial small subunit ribosomal RNA
Source: RNAcentral
AUUGAACGCUGGCGGCAUGCUUUACACAUGCAAGUCGAACGGCAGCGCGGGCUUCGGCCUGGCGGCGAGUGGCGAACGGGUGAGUAAUAUAUCGGAACGUACCCAAGAGUGGGGGAUAACGUAGCGAAAGUUACGCUAAUACCGCAUACGAUCUAAGGAUGAAAGCAGGGGAUCGCAAGACCUUGUGCUCCUGGAGCGGC